ACUUGAAUAGCUUAUCUAGAGCGCAACACUGAAGAUGUUGAUGAGGUAUGUCAUUACCUUUAAGUA
This 66-nucleotide transfer RNA is filed under the name Apicotermitinae gen. H sp. CMRT160. Its description in RNAcentral is "tRNA-Phe". The record is from RNAcentral. Lineage: Eukaryota; Metazoa; Arthropoda; Insecta; Blattodea; Termitidae.